This 310-nucleotide transfer-messenger RNA is filed under the name Alphaproteobacteria bacterium. It matches the Rfam family "Alphaproteobacteria transfer-messenger RNA". Rfam says of the family: Bacterial tmRNA, also known as 10Sa RNA or SsrA, is named for its dual tRNA and mRNA-like properties. Its role is to liberate the mRNA from a stalled ribosome. The record is from RNAcentral. Lineage: Bacteria; Pseudomonadati; Pseudomonadota; Alphaproteobacteria.
GCACUUCAACUCUUAACCCGAAGCGCCUAUAUAAGACGUGCCGGUUCGCCGGCUAUGGCGAUAAACGCGCGUGUAAUAAACGGCUCGGACCCGGGGGCGGUACCCGGCGCCUCCACCACCUGCGCAGGAGAACCUGCUCAGCUGUGGGGGCGAAAUAGGAUCGACGGACGCGUAAAGACGUUGCUUUUGCUCGGCAAGGCUCACCGUUAUCGGGCUGUCUGUAUAGGUGCCAACGACAAUGAAAUGGCCCUCGCUGCCUAAUAGGUAAGCGCGGCUCGGAGGGGCGCCGGGCAACAGAAGCCCCUCCACC